GCUCCUAUCGUCUAGUUGGUCAGGACGCCACUCUCUCAAGGUGGAAACACCGGUUCGAAUCCGGUUGGGAGCG
This 73-nucleotide transfer RNA is filed under the name bacterium. Its description in RNAcentral is "tRNA-Glu". It matches the Rfam family "tRNA". Rfam says of the family: Transfer RNA (tRNA) molecules are approximately 80 nucleotides in length. Their secondary structure includes four short double-helical elements and three loops (D, anti-codon, and T loops). The record is from RNAcentral.